UGCCUUGUGGUGUAGUGGUAGCACGCAACUCUCUAAAAGUUGAGGUCCGGGUUCGAUUCGAUGGCAGGGCGA
This 72-nucleotide transfer RNA is filed under the name Caudoviricetes sp. Its description in RNAcentral is "tRNA-OTHER". It matches the Rfam family "tRNA". From Rfam's summary of the family: Transfer RNA (tRNA) molecules are approximately 80 nucleotides in length. Their secondary structure includes four short double-helical elements and three loops (D, anti-codon, and T loops). Lineage: Duplodnaviria; Heunggongvirae; Uroviricota; Caudoviricetes. The record is from RNAcentral.